CUGUAGGCUGAGUUUUGUGGGAUCUUAGGAAGGCAGGAGUGCCUUUGGCUUACCUAAUGGACCACAUUUAGGAAAGUCAUUCUUUUUAAGAUUACAGGCUACCAUGCAACCUCGGGAUUGAGCCCAAAGGAUGAGAAUAAGCAAUCCUGUUUUGAGGUUGAA
Camellia sinensis is the source of this 162-nucleotide non-coding RNA. The record is from RefSeq and is a predicted model, not a curated record. NCBI's taxonomy places the organism in Eukaryota, Viridiplantae, Streptophyta, Magnoliopsida, Ericales, Theaceae.